AUUUGUAUAGCUUAUUCAGAGCGUAGUAUUGAAGAUACUCAGGAAAUAAUUUUUGUUUACAAGUA
This 65-nucleotide transfer RNA is filed under the name Trigonopterus sp. AH-2016. Its description in RNAcentral is "tRNA-Phe". The record is from RNAcentral. Lineage: Eukaryota; Metazoa; Arthropoda; Insecta; Coleoptera; Curculionidae.